RNAcentral lists this ribosomal RNA (500 nucleotides) under uncultured bacterium. Its description in RNAcentral is "partial 16S ribosomal RNA". It matches the Rfam family "Bacterial small subunit ribosomal RNA", at positions 30 to 523 of the family's 1533-position model. The record is from RNAcentral.
AUUGAACGCUGGCGGCAUGCCUUACACAUGCAAGUCGAACGGCAGCACGGGAGCAAUCCUGGUGGCGAGUGGCGAACGGGUGAGUAAUAUAUCGGAACGUGCCCAGUCGUGGGGGAUAACGCAGCGAAAGCUGUGCUAAUACCGCAUACGAUCUACGGAUGAAAGCGGGGGAUCGCAAGACCUCGCGCGAUUGGAGCGGCCGAUAUCAGAUUAGUUAGUUGGUGGGGUAAAGGCCCAACAAGGCGACGAUCUGUAGCUGGUCUGAGAGGACGACCAGCCCCACUGGAACUGAGACACGGUCCAGACUCCUACGGGAGGCAGCAGUGGGGAAUUUUGGACAAUGGGCGCAAGCCUGAUCCAGCAAUGCCGCGUGCAGGAUGAAGGCCUUCGGGUUGUAAACUGCUUUUGUACGGAACGAAACGGCCCUUUCUAAUACAGGGGGCUAAUGACGGUACCGUAAGAAUAAGCACCGGCUAACUACGUGCCAGCCGCCGCGGUAA